CGCACGGUGGCACAGUGGGUAGCGCUGUUGCCUCACUGCAAGAACGUUGUGGGUUGAAAACUGGCCUGUGUGG
Non-coding RNA from Gymnothorax javanicus (giant moray), 73 nucleotides. NCBI's taxonomy places the organism in Eukaryota, Metazoa, Chordata, Actinopteri, Anguilliformes, Muraenidae. The record is from the annotation of a GenBank genome assembly.